CUGGGGAAACAUUUAGGAAAUGAUAGUAAUCCGUUCGAAGGAGCCGUUUCCUUUAGUAGCUUGACUAAAAAAUAAAGUCACUACAAGUGAAUCCCCUCAAAACAGCAGCUGCGCGUAAAACACCAACACCUUGGUGACCUGAGGCACUCGCGGAGUCUGACAUCUGCGGUGAAUGUUCUUUUCAUAAAAAGCAACCAAAGUGGAUGUCGGUGCGUAAUGGAUGUAAAGUUAAAACCGAGCGCAGAUCAGAAGAUAAGUGCAAGCAUAAUCCAAACUCUCUCCUUUCUGUCUCUGCCGGGUCUCUCGAUAUGAACUAACACUUCUGCGCUCCGAUGGCACAACAUAACCCUCCCUCCUGCUCGCACUUCUCCGCACCCCCUUCGUUUUGACAAUGGAGAGGAGGAGGAGGAGCGCGAGGGGAGCCGAAGACCUGGAGAGGAAUUUUGGGGAGGCCAAACAACACAAGAGGGCAGCAGACGAGAACGCGCUUUGAUUUUCCCGUGCACAAGAGCGCGUUUUGGACUUUUUGGACACAAUGCAUUUAUUAAAGAGGAACUUGAGAUAUUCGAGUCGCGCAAAAGUCAAAAGUUCACAGAGGGAGAGGAAUAAAAGAGUUAACGGCUCGGAAAAUAUCAAAGUUCACACGCGUAUAAUCUCAUUCUCCUUAGCACUAUAGUUUACCGCAAUAAAUCCGCGCAAGGGGGAAAGACAAAAUCCCGGUUUGACACGCGGAAUAAAAGCCACGCAUGUGAUCUUUGACAGUUCAACUUCUGCUACCCUCUAAAUCACUCUCCACAGUUCGGUCAUGAGAUAUCCAAUCGCGCUUGGGAACGAGCAAGACUAAACCGUGCCAUAUAAUGUGGGGACAAUUUUAUCAGCACGCCCGUUUUAGACGAAUUUACAACUGAUAACCAACGCUGCAGACAUAAACAGCCACAUUGCACCCUAUCCUUCAGAUGUGCGGUGUAAGGAAUGCAAAUACAAUGAGUGUUUUACAGCUCCCGACUCUUGGAGAGGUUCGGGAAUUAUAGCGAGCCCUGUGCCAUUCUUGCAUCACCCCCACACCUCUCCUUUGAGUGCCGUGCCUACAGACAUGUCAGAAUUGGUGUGAGAGACGCCACUCAAUUUCCGAGCAGUCUGUGCAUGAUAAAGCGCCUCUCCGGACCCUUUCAUCUCCUCUAAUCCACACGCCCAGCCAUCACCUUUACGCCUCCCAUCGCAGACCUAGGGCUGGGCUCCAUGUCCCUCCCUCACCCUGGGACCCUGACGCACGGCAAAAAGCACAGCAGCGUGAGUUUUCAUUUCUGGGUAAACUAUCCCUUUAAGGUUGGGAUCUGAUUAUGUAAACCAGCUCCACAUCUGACAGAGAGCAGGGACGAAACAGAGGUGAGAGAAGACAAGGAAAGCGCUG
Molecule: long non-coding RNA, 1411 nt
Filed under: Danio rerio (zebrafish)
Lineage: Eukaryota; Metazoa; Chordata; Actinopteri; Cypriniformes; Danionidae
Description: si:ch73-211c7.2 (ENSDARG00000096855.2)
Source: RNAcentral